UGGCUCAGGAUGAACGCUGGCGGCGUGCCUAACACAUGCAAGUCGAACGAAGCACUGCGGAUGGAGAUUCGUCAAAAUCUGCUUUGACUUAGGUGGCGGACGGGUGAGUAAUGUGUGAGCAACCUGCCUUUCAGAGGGGGACAACAGUUGGAAACGACUGCUAAUACCGCAUAAUGUAUUGGAAGGGCAUCCUUUUGAUACUAAAGGAGCAAUCCGCUGAAAGAUGGGCUCACAUCUGAUUAGCUAGUUGGUGGGGUAACGGCCUACCAAGGCUGCGAUCAGUAGCCGGACUGAGAGGUUGAACGGCCACAUUGGGACUGAGAUACGGCCCAGACUCCUACGGGAGGCAGCAGUGGGGAAUAUUGGGCAAUGGGCGAAAGCCUCGACCCAGCAACGCCGCGUGAAGGAAGAAGGUCUUCGGAUUGUAAACUUCUUUUAUGAGGGACGAAGGACGUGACGGUACCUCAUGAAUAAGCCACGGCUAACUACGUGCCAGCCGCCGC
Molecule: ribosomal RNA, 503 nt
Filed under: uncultured bacterium
Lineage: Bacteria
Description: bacterial SSU rRNA
Rfam family: Bacterial small subunit ribosomal RNA
Source: RNAcentral